This 491-nucleotide ribosomal RNA is filed under the name uncultured bacterium. RNAcentral's name for it is "partial 16S ribosomal RNA". It matches the Rfam family "Bacterial small subunit ribosomal RNA", at positions 29 to 507 of the family's 1533-position model. The record is from RNAcentral.
AGUGAACGCUGGCGGUAGGCCUAACACAUGCAAGUCGAACGGCAGCACAGUAAGAGCUUGCUCUUACGGGUGGCGAGUGGCGGACGGGUGAGGAAUACAUCGGAAUCUACUUUUUCGUGGGGGAUAACGUAGGGAAACUUACGCUAAUACCGCAUACGACCUACGGGUGGAAGCAGGGGAUCUUCGGACCUUGCGCGAUUGAAUGAGCCGAUGUCGGAUUAGCUAGUUGGCGGGGUAAAGCCCACCAAGGCGACGAUCCGUAGCUGGUCUGAGAGGAUGAUCAGCCACACUGGAACUGAGACACGAUCCAGACUCCUACGGGAGGCAGCAGUGGGGAAUAUUGGACAAUGGGCGCAAGCCUGAUCCAGCCAUACCGCGUGGGUGAAGAAGGCCUUCGGGUUGUAAAGCCCUUUUGUUGGGAAAGAAAAGCAGCAGGUUAAUACCCCGCUGUUCUGACGGUACCCAAAGAAUAAGCACCGGCUAACUUCGUG